This 68-nucleotide transfer RNA is filed under the name Marmota monax (woodchuck). RNAcentral's name for it is "tRNA.Ala". The stretch from base 5 to 65 matches the Rfam family "tRNA", at positions 6 to 65 of the family's 71-position model. From Rfam's summary of the family: Transfer RNA (tRNA) molecules are approximately 80 nucleotides in length. Their secondary structure includes four short double-helical elements and three loops (D, anti-codon, and T loops). Lineage: Eukaryota; Metazoa; Chordata; Mammalia; Rodentia; Sciuridae. The record is from RNAcentral.
GGAUUGUGGCUCAGCGGUAGAGCGCUUGCCUUGCACGUGCAAGACCCUGGGUUCAAUCCUCAGCACCA